Cyprinodon tularosa is the source of this 133-nucleotide long non-coding RNA. RefSeq lists it as uncharacterized. The record is from RefSeq and is a predicted model, not a curated record. Lineage: Eukaryota; Metazoa; Chordata; Actinopteri; Cyprinodontiformes; Cyprinodontidae. The transcript has 3 exons.
GAAGGAUUCGGGAGCUGGAAUCUAAUGAACGAAAGCAACAACAGUUGAGAUCUCAUCUAAGAGACAAGGAAAAGGAAACUGAAGCACUUCAACAAAAGAUAGAUGAAAUGGGUAGACAUCUUCAAAUGGCAAG